UUUAUUCAGGCGGUGGAAAUGAGAGCGAGCAGACAACUGCACGUUCCAAAGGGCGUAUGCAAAAAGAAAGUAUAAAGAAAAACCCUCCUACCCUUGCAGCUAGGGAGGAGCGUGUACGGAGCAAGGAAGCCGUGAGCUGGAAGGGACCUGGGGAAGGGGAAGCACGCUGCAAAAUGGAGCGGUCAAACAAAGCACAGAAGAAAUUCGAAAUAAAGUUCAGCUUGGAGCGGAAUCUUACCUCUGAGCAAGGCCAUGUCGGCUGCUGGGCGGGCUAACGCUUCCGUCGCCUCUCGACGAGCGGCUCAGGCUGAAGGUCUCCCCCUUACACGCCCACUCUCUGCUGCAAUCCUGGCCCUUGCCCUUUCACCGACUUCUCCUCGCUUCUAGCCUCCUCCUCUUCAGCACAAAAGAGGAGCGCCAGCGGGCGAGACGGUCACGUGCAGCCCGGGCUGACAAUACCAAGUGCUAGUCUUCUAUUCUGAAGAGGAAACAGCAGCAUGGAUGCCUUCCUACAGAACCAAGUCUUUCUCCACUGCAUUGUGAGGUGGCAGAUGCUCUAUCCCAUCACAAUUGGCAGAGUGCCCCAACCUCCGGCUUGUUUUGUGAGAGAUGGAAGAUUGGAUCUUGGGAAGCCACCUGCCAUAAUGCAGAAAUAAAAUUACCUGGCUGCUGCAGUAGUGUCUGUGGCUUGGAUGCUGCUACCUAAGACUAAGCCUUGUUUUUGUAUUAUUUGAUUGACCAUGACUGUGCAUUGGCUGAAGAAAGAGAAUUGUCUUGAAUUUAUUAUUUCUUAAAAAGCAAAGUUCAAUGGAAAUGUUUUCAUCAUGAUGGAAAAAGUCAGUAGUAGUAAAAAGAGAAAUGUUUGCCAAGGUCAAGAAGAAUGGCUUUGUUCGGUGGAGGCAACACACUGGUUGCGCUUCCUUGUUCUGUCAAGCUUAGGAGCCACAGAGCUGGCAUACCUAAGCAUAAAGGAUCUUCCACCCUUUUUUCCUUACUUGAGUGAAUCUCCACCAACUGUUGGGUGCAGGUUCUUUUACGUUUGCUCCAUAAAGGAAAUUAGUUUGCUGCAUAAAGGAAAUCCCAAGAGAAAGAGGCAAAGUUUGCUAUGGGAACUUGGUAUUCUACACCCAAGUAAGGAUGUGAAUGAGCAGUUAUAGGGAGAAAUUCUCUUGACUAGAGCAUUGUUGGUUGUUUGCUACAGAGAGUAUCACACGAUUGGCUGAAACCUAACUGGGCACCCUUGGCAAGGGCAAAAAGCUACAACAGAAGCCGAAGGCACUGUCAGCUGAAGGAGAAAUAUCUCAAUGUAUGAAGAAGCAGCCGCUAUUUGCCAUGGUUACUGGUUUAUCCUUUCACUAUACUAUGAAUUAGGAAUACGAAAAGUGAUACUGAGCCACAGUUCCUAGUCUUUCCAACCAUUUGUUUUUUGUUAUAACCUCUGCCUAACAAUAUUCAUGUACUAAGUGUUGCAGCAGCAUCUGAAUAAGUGCACAUUCAAUAUGCUGCAUGAAAGCAAUGGUUUUUUUGUGUACAAGGUGACUGUGGGGUUUUGCUCGUUUCUCUCUCUGCAUUUCCAAGGACUCAGUACUGCAACAUAACCUGAAUCAGCAAGACUUGAACAUGUAGACUGCUGAACUUUUAAAAAGAGCUAAGUAAGACUAAUUAUCUGCUUAAAAAGUGGGCAAGUGCUCCAAUUCUUUCCUGAAUUAGAUCAGAAUGCUUUAGGAUCAAUUCAUUAGUAAAACUGCAUUCUGUUAUAAGGGAGAUACUGUUAGUUUUGUAAAAGUACUCCCAUCAAAAAUCUACUGCCGGCGAUGCAAGGGUAAAGUGUGUAAGAAGGAUUUCGGCAUGGCUCUUACACAUUUUGAAAAGAGCUGCCACAUUGUUUAAGUCUGUGUCCUACAACCAGUUGGCUAGCCGCUAAGUGCAAGUUAUAGGAAGCGGCUCUGCGUUUCUCAUUCUGAUGUUAUUUGAUGUAGGUAAAAUUUGAUGUAGGCCUUUGGAAACUUUGUUUUGAGGGCAACGGAAUAGGUAGGCGUUGCAGAUGUACUUUAAUGUCCAAAUAAUAGGGGGUUGAGAAAACUAUUUACUUUAGAUAUUGGUGAUAAAGUUGGGGGAGUAGUUUUUAUUGGUUACACGGGCCAUGUUCACACAAUCAGACCUUAGCUUAACAAGUUAGGAUCUGCAUGCAGCUCCAUGGAGCCACUUUGUUCCCCCUUUGCACAGGAAGAGAAAAAAGUCAGGAAGCCACAGUUAACCAUGGCUUCCCUGUUAUAUGCAAACCCAGAAACUGGUGGAUGUCUUUCAAACAAAACUAGGAUAUGAAACCAUGGGCUGUUUGGAAGCCAUUACCCAUAGUUUCCUGGUUUGCAUGUAGUGGGAAGCCAUGGUUAUCAGUGGUUUCUUGGGUUAUUGCCCCAUUCACCUGAAAGGGCUGCGUGUCAGUGCAUGGAGUUCAUGCAUAUCCAGUUUCUUAAGCCACAUUUCAUCGGGCAACCAGGUCCCUGAUGGGGAAGUGGAGCUGUUAAGCCAGUACUGUUCUGAAGUAAAAUUAAUUUUCUUGUUUGCUUCAAAAUGAUGAUAAAGAUACAAGGCAAUCAGUGCUAAUACCUCCCUCUAGUUCUCUCAAAAGGCUUCUCUGUCAACCAACAUUUUGUUACCAAAGCAUCACAUGACUUUUUCCAUGAUAUGAAACAGUACCCUCCAUAGCUGGCUUGGCUGAAGCUAUGUGCCAUUCUGAUUGCCCAGCCUGUCCUAUGGAAGCUUCAUGAGAUCGCAUGUUGGCUUCACAAUGAUUCAUUGCUGAGCGGGGGCACUUGUCCUGCAGAUUGGUCCUGCCACUAGUAACUGUAAGAGCUCUUCAACUAUCACGGCCAGGAAUUGUCCUUUUUGUGAAGUAUGAUGGACCUUGCACACUGUACUACCUUUUCUCACAAUCACGGAAAAUCAAAUUAGUCUCAUAUAUAUUAAUUGGAUUAAAGAAACAUAAAUCUUCUGAAUAACCUACAGCAGCCUGCAGUGGAAUCAUCAUGAUGGGGCUGAGCUCAUGCAGAGCUUAGUUCCCUCUUUCUCAGUGUUCCAUGUGAAAGAAAUAUUUAUGGCCGCUUGAUACUGAAGGCGGACUGGAAUUGCCCCAGUGUGUGCUCCUAGGUUAUGGCCCAUACAAAUUUGUAUUUGAGGAAGCUGGGAAAACAACCACAACCACCUUCUUGAGCCCCAGUUGCAAAUAAAAAGUGUUGUUCGCUCCACCAGUUAGUUUUCUUCCAGGCUACAUAAUUCUUAGUUUGGCCUAUUGCAGCUUUCUUUUCCAAAAUGAUCAUUUUAAAAACAGUGGGCGGCAGCAGCAGUAACUCAGAAAUUGAAGCAAAACCCAUAACCAUGAACAAGAGAAAGAUGUGUGGCCAUCUUGGCUUCUAUUAUUUCAGGGUAGAAUUUCUUAAACCGUUAUUUAUGAAAAUCAAAAUAGUGGUUACCGAUGCUAGUGCCUUAAUGACAGCUAGGAGGCAAUAUUUUUAGCAUAGUAUCAAGUGGUACAAACCCCCUCUUGUUUCAAGUAUUCUUAGCAGCAAAAUCCCCCCCCCCAAAAGCCCUCCAUACAAACUAAAAAGCAUAUAACCAAAAUACAGGAUUAGCUUCUUAUGCCAUAAAAUUUAGCACUGAUUCACUAAAGUGUAUUGGUUCAUUAACCAUUCAUUUGGUCCACUUUUGAAGAGAUCCUUAAAUUCCUCUUUUUUUUUUUGCUUUAACUCUUAGGAAAUGGGCUGGGAGUCAAUAUAAUAUCUUCAAACUUUGUUAAGGAAUUCCAGGCUGAGAGAAGCAGGGAUGUGAAUAGAGUCCAUGGUUAGAGAGGAAGGGUUGAAUGGAAACAAAACGGGGAACAUGAACUUGAAGUCUAACAGUAGCUGAGGAGGGUCAUUCCGCUCUUGCAAAUGUGCCUACAAGGAGGAACACACAAACAGACAAAAUGUAAAGCAGCUCAAAUUUGGAACACUUAAGCACAGUUGAGACUAUAGCCUCAUCCUCACACAGGGGUGACUUUCUGAAGCUGGAAGAGGAAAAGGGGUAUGAGUGGUAAUGCUCAUUUGCUUGGCAUGCCACCCAAUUGAGCAGUCAAAUCUUGCCAAGUGAUUGCCAGUUAUUUGAUCACCAUCAAAUUUUCUAUGAAGCUAAGUGGCACAUGGCCACUAGGUAAGCAUUUUUGCCUUUAUUUAUUUCAUGAUAGUAUCAUUUGUUCACAAGGGCAGGAAUGAAAACUGCUUUCUCACUCCUCCACCCCUGCCCUGCAGCAGUUGCGGGCAAACCUAUCAGUAUUAUCUAUCCUACGGGCACCCUACUACAACCAUGCAUCUCCAGAACAAGAACAGGCAUGCAAACCACUGUCUGUGACUCCAUCUGGCAUGCUGUAGAAGAUGGGGUGUACCCCUUCCAUUUGAUCUGGGUCUUUUUAACCCAACUUUUGUGCCAAUUCCACAACCUAUAUAGCCUAAUUCAAGCAUGAUCAGAACCACGCAAAGGAGAGUGUAUGGGUGUUGAAAAGCCCCACCCUUCUGGUGUGUCACAGUUCCCAAAUUUGCAGCCCUCCAUGAGUUGCAGGGCAUUCUUCUGAGGUGGGGAGCCAGGAGACCAUUUGGCAAUGUUUGCAAAUUUUACAUGGAUUUAUUUUACUUCUACAGACCACCAAGAUACAUGGCAUUCUCCUAGCUGCGGCCUCUGCAAUAUGCAGUCCCUCUCAUUGCUGAUGUUGCCUGUGAUAAAGCAUUUUGCAACUAUCAAUAUAAAUUUGUAGAAUAGAGGGAAAACACAUGGCUUUGCGUGCAUAAGGUCCAAGGUUCAUUUCUUGGUAUCUCCACUUACAAGUGUGCCAGGUGUUAAGGCUGGGACAGACCAUUGGCUGAGAUUCUGGAGAGCCAUUGCUUCUUGAAACUAAUAGAACUGGGCUAGGUUGACCAAUGGCCUGACUCUGUAUAAGGCAGCCUUUUCUGUUUCUAUGAGUAACACUGCGUAGAAAAGGCCCUAGGAAGAGGAGGAGGGAAAUUGGCUAUAUUGGGCUAAAAAAAAAAGGGAUCUCAGUGUUUUUGUAUCCACUUAAUAAGUUCUCUUUAAAUGCUGUGCCUUUUAGAAAACAGGCACAUGGCUGGUUUUUCAGUGUGGCAGACGUAAAACUCCCCAAUGCCUCUCUGUUGGAGCACUCACCUGAAUGUUUCUUAUGAAGGCUACCGUCACUCGCUCUUCAAAUUCGUUCACAGGAGUGUAGAGAUUGAGGAUUUUUACAAUCUGUGGAGAGGAAAAUAAGAAGUGGGUUGUGUGUGUGUGUGGGGGAAACGACACCAUAGCUGAACUGAUGCCGUGUGCCUUGUGUCACCACUAUUUAUAGAUAUUAUCACUGCUUCUCUAGGAAAGGGAGCAAACAGGAACUAAUGAUGGAAGGACAAGUUACAAAGAUAACACAGGGCUCCCAACUUGGAUGAGGAGGGAGAGGUUAGUUGCUUCCAAGUGGGAGGGGGUGCCUAACCUUUGCAUUAGCUGUCCAGUGAUACUCUCUUGUAAAUGGUUCCCUUUGGCUAUUUUAAAUAGUCUUCCUAUCAGCCGGUCUCUGGGGAAAGUUAGCCGUGGGGGUGGGGGCAGAGGAUUUAGGGGAGAUGCAUGGUCAAAUCUGCUGGUGAUCUUGAGCCAGUUAAUAUCUCUCUCAGCCUGACUUAUCUCACAAGGUUGUUGCGAGGUUAAAAUGGGUAUGGGUGGUGGUGACAUUCUUGUGUUCAAUCUUGUGUUAAGCCACUUUGCAUGCCUAAAGAAAUGAAUAAACGUACUCUUUCAGCUCCUUACCUGCUGUGUGGUGAGGGAUGUGCAUAAGGAACAUAAAGCCUCUGCAUCUUCUGGGGUUUUCUUUUUCAGCUGCAAGAGCUGCGCUGCCUGGAUCAGAGGCUCCAAGGUCUUGGCAGCCCCGCUCUGCUGCAGAUUCUUCCCUCGCAACCAUUCCUCCAGCUGGCUGAUAUUAAACCUGGAACGACACAAGAAAGCCAUACGUUUAAUAAGGAAAAAGAAGAAAAAAAUAUUUCAGACAGUUGUCAGGAGGAUUUGAGUUUUCCAAUGUAUGCCAGUGAUUUCUGCAAGAAAGGAAUAUGACUCCCGAAGAUGAUUUACGCGCAUUAGAGACUGGAGUUGAUGUUGAGGCAAGGAAACUGGUGUGAUAGUGCUGCUACACCAGGCAUGGCAUAGCACCAGCACAUGUUCCUCCUACAUUGCACUGGCCCUUCUUUUCAGAGUUACACAAUCUACUGAAGUUCAGACUCAAAGGAAUAAGCAGCUUUAGUUUCCAGGACAGAUCCACAAGAGACUGAAAAACCUCCUAUACGCUAAUAGGGAACUCAUUCUCUGAGCAUGGAUGCUUAUGUAGCAAAAUGGCACCAUCCACACAAAGACAUAUCAACAGCUUUGGAGGAACCCCAAAUUUGCAAUUGUUUGUGUGUGUGGGGAUCACUAGGAAGGGAAACUCCAGACAAAAAAAGCCCACAGUUAACAAAGACUGAGCAUGUUCAGUGAGCACACUCACUGGUGGGGCAAGGGAACAGAAAGUGGGGAAGAGGAGGAUGGAACAGAGUAUCCUGUAUUCAACACUACAAAAGUUUGUUUCUGAUCCGACUUGUCUUAAUAAGACAGUGAAGACAACUCAGCAGUAAUCUCCCCAGGGCAAGCCCCAAUGAAGUGAAUGUGCGCAGUGCUGCUUUCACUAGAGAAGUUCCAGAUGACAGGGCACGUGCCCAUCCAUCAUGGUGACGUUUCCCACAACCAGGCAUCUAUCCUUGCUGCUACAGUUCUCUCACCGUAUCUCCGCUGUAUUGCUUCAGACAAUGAAGAAGGCGACAGGUGUUAGCCAGCCAAAAUGAUGUCAUCUCAAAGUCAUCGUUAUGUUUCUGUGAAGACAAAAAGAAAAGGGAAAUAUGAAAAUCCUGUUUGAACUCUCUGAUUUUAUGGGUUAAUUGUGUUACAAAAAGGAUUUAUUCCUGGGGUUGCUCAUAGUCACUAUUCUGUUAUAGGCAGGUGAUCUAGAUUUUUCCAGCAGAAAUACUUCAUUCUGCUAUUUCCAAAUAUGCUUGCAUUGAACCAUUUUGGAAGUAGCGUUGGUAUGGCAGGAGGGGGAAGCAAUGUAGAAGAAGCAGGGCCAUAAGGACCGAGGGGCAGAUAAGGAGUCAUCCCUGGAGCCUAUAAACCUUCAUGAUUUCCUUGAAAACAAACUGGUUCUGACAUUUUUCCUACAAGGGUACCCUCUCAUCCAGACUUCUGAUGAUUCUCAGUCUGCCCCUCUGUAACCAGAGCUGGCUCCAAGUUUGAUGAGGCCCUGGGGAAAGUGCCCUCUGGUGGACACCCUCAGACUUAUCUGGCAGUGGUAGCAGCAGAGGAGCAUUCUGAGGGCAGCUAGCCACCACUUAUAGAUGUAAUUUCCCACAAUGCCCCAGGAAACCUGAUGUUGUACCCCUACAGGGCAUAGGUGGGGUAGGGCAGACAAAAGUGCUGUUAGGCCUUGCCAGAAUGCUGGGGACUGGGUAGCUGCUGAAACUGGGCCUGGCCGGACAUAUGAGGCCUAGAAAUUCUGAGAUCUGAAGCAAAACUCAUGAGCAAAAGCAAAAAUGAAGUUUCUAGCACAUCUACUGAAGCUCUAGCACGUGCCGAAGAGAUUCUCUGGAUGCAGCUCAUGUAUUUAAUAGGCUCCAGUGUUUAAGGGGGAAGUUUCUGUGUCCUGUAGUGAGGCAGGCCUGUUCUUUUCCCAGAAUCUGCUGCCAACCAUAAAGUUGCAUCAUUAAUCUUGUCAUGCUUUUUGCUAAAAAUAUCAGAACAAAGCUGGAAAAAAUGAUAAUUUGUUCCUCUGUUAAAAAUAA
Long non-coding RNA from Rhineura floridana, 7874 nucleotides. RefSeq lists it as uncharacterized. The transcript is spliced from 5 exons. Lineage: Eukaryota; Metazoa; Chordata; Lepidosauria; Squamata; Rhineuridae. The record is from RefSeq and is a predicted model, not a curated record.